This 287-nucleotide long non-coding RNA is filed under the name Capsella rubella. RNAcentral's name for it is "long non-coding RNA (CRUB_LNC005011)". Lineage: Eukaryota; Viridiplantae; Streptophyta; Magnoliopsida; Brassicales; Brassicaceae. The record is from RNAcentral.
GGAAACAAAACGAAUCUAACAUAAACACUCUAGCAAACUAACAUCCUCCACCUAAUCUAUCCCAUCCUCAAGAACCCUAACACUACUCAGAUGCAGAAAUCAUGUUAAACAUCAUGAAACAAGAAUCAUUCAAAACAUGCAUAAUAAUAAAGAUGACAGGAAGAGUAACAACAAUGAUUCAAGAACUAACUACAAAAUAUCAAUAACUCAAAAGAAAUCACGAUUACAAUUCUCAGGAUCGUUUUGGUGGCUAACAACAAAAACCUAAUCAAAUAAAACUCGAUCCC